UUUUUUUUUUUCUUUUUUUUUUUUGAGAUGGAGUCUCGCUCUGUCGCCCAGGCUGCAGUGCAGUGGCGCGAUCUCGGCUCACUACAAGCUCCACCUCCACGCCAUUCUCCUGCCUCAGCCUCCCGAGUAGCUGGGACCACAGGCGCCCGCCACCAUGCCCGGCAAGUUUUGUAUUUUGUUUAGUAGAGACGGGGUUUCACCCUGUUAGCCAGGAUGGUCUCGAUCUCCUGACCUCGUGAUCCACCCACCUCAGCCUCCUAAAGUGCUGGGAUUACAGGCAUGAGCCACCACACCUGGCCAUGACACUAAUUCUUUGAAAUGUACUGGCAUUUGCUUUCUGGCCUAUUCUGACAGGCUCCAUGUGUGCCUGAAACUAAUGUGAUUUCCCAGCUGGGUGAGCCCCAUUCCAUAGACGUCCCUCCACUCAAGCCCAGGAACCAGCACCCUCAAACCUCAGGUAUCCUUAUUGUUUCCUUUUGAGUCUACUUGACCGAUUAACCACUAAGAGGAUUACCGAGCCCUCUGCCUAGGAUGGUGGGUUUGUGAAUUUCUCCUUGCAGUUGGCUGGGUUUUGCUGCAGCUUAUGGCUUUUGGAAACAGCUAACUUCAUGGUGUUGCCCCAUUCACGGGAGAUCCCAUCCGUCCUCACGUGUCAAGCUUCCCGCUGCGUGUGAACUAACUGCUACGCCCUCCACCUGAGCCCACGGGCUCAGGCACCUGGCUCACUGGACCUUCCGGGCCUUCACACCGGCUGUCCUGAGUGGAACUCACUUACUUCCCUAGAUCCCAUGCCCUCACCUCCUGAGUCUAGAGCAGCACCCAAGAAUUGGCCAGUCCACCUCUGUCAGAGAAGAAAGUGCAUGCCUGCCCAAGACCUGGGGUUUUCUGGUACAGAGGGGUCUGUGUCUGCGUCUGCCAGGCCAGGCAUCAGGAGGCCACGGGGCCAGCAUGGGGCUCAGGGUCCUCAAGGGAGACCUCCCUCCCUCCACCCAAAGGCCAGCCAAGGGGAGAGCUGAAAUUCCUGCUCUUUCUGGGGGCGGGGGGUCCCAUCUGCAGGGCUGGAACAGCAAGAGUGCCCCUCCAGUGUCACCCAUGCCCCCAGCAUCUGCCCCUCCUCCCUCCAGGGCACUGGCUGAGAUGCACAUGCAGCAGCGAGCGCGAGAACGAGAAGCUCCUGCUGUACCAGAGGACGGGCAGGCCCCUCUCCUGGUGAGGGCCACUGCCUCAGCAGCCACAGCUGUCUGGGCCUGGGGAGUACCUGGGCAGACAAGCUCUCGGCAGAGGGAGGUCCCGGGCUCUCAGCUGGGCUGGGCUGCCUUUCCUCCAGCACCCAUGCUCGGGGGCAGAUGGCCAGAGAAUAGGCCCAGGACAAGGAACAAAAGGUUGGACAAGCACGGGGCCUGUGACCGCAGGGGGCUGGCUGGCUCUGAGGUCCUGGCACAGAGGCUGCCACCCCAGGUUGCCAGGGAGGCUCCCAGCCAGGCCAUCCCCACCUCCCCGGGUCUCAGAGGCUCUGGGCAGGGCUGGAGGGAACAGUGGGGUGAGGACGGCCCUCGAGGGGCAGAGGGAGCCUGGAGGCGUAUUCAGGAGAAAACACAGGUGUGGAUGCCCAGGGAAGGAUGGGGAAGCCAUGCCUCUCUCAUCCCAGUAUCCCUGUCCCACCUCGCCUCAGCCCCUUCCCCUCAGGAGCCUUCCACAGGGACAGGAGCCCUCCACGGGGACAGAAGUCCUGCAGUGGGGAAGGCCCCAGGAAAGGGGGAGGGCUGGGGGCCUCAAGGCAGCCCGGCGGGGGUGGGCCGCUGCAGCAGUGCUGGGGGCUAGGGGCAGGGAGGGGCCUGUCUGGAGGAUCCCAGCCUUGGAACUGAGGAGUGGCCUCACAGGCCUCUGGCAUAGGAAGGGAGCUGUCCCAGGGUACCAGGCACAACCCCGGCCCUCCCACCACGUCUGCCCAGCCCAGUGGAUCCUGCAGGGGCUGACCUGAGGUGGGUACCCAAAGCAGGUCCCAGGGACCCAGGGGCUGCGCUGUGCUGCAAGACCCCCAUGCCCUCCAUCCACCUGUCUGCGGCUCUGGGGUCCCCCCGCAGAGGGCCCUGGGACUCCCUGCCUGUGGCCAGUCGAGGAAGGACCAAGUCCAGGCCCACCGUGGGUGACACAGCUGAGCAGCCCCCACCCCACCAGCACUUCCUGCAGCUUCAGCAGCAGCCUCUCUCCAUCCCCAAGGGGCCAAGCAUCUACCCGAGGCAGGAGGCCAACCCCCC
Long non-coding RNA from Macaca fascicularis (crab-eating macaque), 2258 nucleotides. Lineage: Eukaryota; Metazoa; Chordata; Mammalia; Primates; Cercopithecidae. The record is from Ensembl.